AAAACAUAUUUUACAUCAUACAGUUUGAAAAAUUGGAUUAGAAUAACAAAUCAGUUAAUAACAAAUUGUUUAAUCAUACAGAAAAGCUAGCGUCAUAAAAUUUUUGUGUGAGUUCCAUCUUACAAUACAGUCAUUUAAUUCAGAAUUUUUUAAAUUAUCAUCAUAUUUCUAUAUAUUAUUAAACAACAUAAUUAAAAGUUAUAAUAUUUUAAUAAAAAAGAUUGAGGGCUUAGUCGGUGAUUUAAUCCUUUGAAGGAUGAAGUAAGAGAGAGAGAGAGGAUCUUUCUAGAAGAAAUGUGGCAAGCCACUAGUGGAGAAAGUGCACUCUUUAAUCUAUUAUUACAAUAUAUGAAUGAGAUAAUGGAUGAAUUCUGUCUCUCACUCACCUGGGAAAUCAAAUAUUUCUAUACUUACAUAUUUUAUCAGAUGGUUAAGAUGAUUUUCAAGCCUAAUCAAAAAUAUGACAAUGCAGUACUAUUAUACUUUCAUUUUUUAUUAUUACUAUUAGAAGUAAUUAUUCUGUUAUAAUAAUUAUCAUAUUGUAAAUAAUUCAUAUUGAUCAUAUUUUC
RNAcentral lists this long non-coding RNA (569 nucleotides) under Androctonus crassicauda. The record is from RNAcentral. Lineage: Eukaryota; Metazoa; Arthropoda; Arachnida; Scorpiones; Buthidae.